AUUGAACGCUGGCGGCAUGCUUUACACAUGCAAGUCGGACGGCAGCAUAAAAGAGCUUGCUCUUUUGAUGGCGAGUGGCGAACGGGUGAGUAAUGCAUCGGAACGUACCGAGUAGUGGGGGAUAACUGUCCGAAAGGAUGGCUAAUACCGCAUAUUCUCUGAGGAGGAAAGCAGGGGACCUUAGGGCCUUGCGCUAUUUGAGCGGCCGAUGUCUGAUUAGCUAGUUGGUGGGGUAAGAGCCCACCAAGGCGACGAUCAGUAGCGGGUCUGAGAGGAUGAUCCGCCACACUGGGACUGAGACACGGCCCAGACUCCUACGGGAGGCAGCAGUGGGGAAUUUUGGACAAUGGGCGCAAGCCUGAUCCAGCCAUGCCGCGUGUAUGAAGAAGGCCUUCGGAUUGUAAAGUACUUUUGUCAGGGAAGAAAAGCCUGAGGAUAACACCCUCAGGUCAUGACGGUACCUGAAGAAUAAGCACCGGCUAACUACGUGCCAGCAGCCGCGGUAAUACGUAGGGUGCGAGCGUUAAUCGGAAUUACUGGGCGUAAAGCGAGCGCAGACGGUUAUUUAAGCAAGAUGUGAAAGCCCCGGGCUCAACCUGGGAACUGCGUUUUGAACUGGGUAACUAGAGUGUGUCAGAGGGGGGUAGAAUUCCACGUGUAGCAGUGAAAUGCGUAGAGAUGUGGAGGAAUACCGAUGGCGAAGGCAGCCCCCUGGGAUAACACUGACGUUCAUGCUCGAAAGCGUGGGUAGCAAACAGG
This 759-nucleotide ribosomal RNA is filed under the name uncultured Neisseriaceae bacterium. RNAcentral's name for it is "bacterial SSU rRNA". It matches the Rfam family "Bacterial small subunit ribosomal RNA", at positions 28 to 776 of the family's 1533-position model. The record is from RNAcentral. Lineage: Bacteria; Pseudomonadati; Pseudomonadota; Betaproteobacteria; Neisseriales; Neisseriaceae.